UACGUAGGGUGCGAGCGUUAAUCGGAAUUACUGGGCGUAAAGAGUGCGUAGGCGGAUAUGUAAGUUAGAUGUGAAAUACCUGGGCUUAACCUGGGAGGUGCAUUUAAGACUGUGUAUCUAGAGUUUGUCAGAGGGGGGUAGAAUUCCAAGUGUAGCAGUGAAAUGCGUAGAGAUUUGGAGGAAUACCGAUGGCGAAGGCAGCCCCCUGGGAUAAAACUGACGCUGAGGCACGAAAGCGUGGGUAGCAAACAGG
This 253-nucleotide ribosomal RNA is filed under the name uncultured bacterium. Its description in RNAcentral is "partial 16S ribosomal RNA". It matches the Rfam family "Bacterial small subunit ribosomal RNA", at positions 524 to 776 of the family's 1533-position model. The record is from RNAcentral.